UACGGAGGGUGCGAGCGUUGUUCGGAAUUACUGGGCGUAAAGCGCGUGUAGGCGGCCUUCUAAGUCUGGUGUGAAAGCCCGGGGCUCACCCCCGGAAGUGCACUGGAAACUGGGAGACUAGAGUACCGGAGAGGAGGGUGGAAUUCCUGGUGUAGCGGUGAAAUGCGUAGAUAUCAGGAGGAACACCGGUGGCGAAGGCGGCCCUCUGGACGGAUACUGACGCUGAGACGCGAAAGCGUGGGGAGCAAACAGG
This 253-nucleotide ribosomal RNA is filed under the name uncultured bacterium. RNAcentral's name for it is "partial 16S ribosomal RNA". It matches the Rfam family "Bacterial small subunit ribosomal RNA", at positions 524 to 776 of the family's 1533-position model. The record is from RNAcentral.